UCUCCGUUGGUGAACCAGCGGAGGGAUCAUUACAGAGUUUUUCUACUCCCAAACCACUGUGAACAUAUACCUAUAGUGUUGCUUGGGCGUGUUAACGCCCCGGCAGGCUCAAAAAGCCGACGGAAGCAGGCGCCGGCCGGGGGACCCAAACGCUUGUAUAUCUUACUUCUGAUGUCUUAUUCGUAUUAUAACAAAAUUAAUAACAACUGUCAACAACGGACCUCUUGCGUCUAGCAUCGAAGAAGAACGGAGCAGAACGGAAGAGCACACGAGUCA
RNAcentral lists this unclassified non-coding RNA (276 nucleotides) under plant metagenome. RNAcentral describes it as "partial contains small subunit ribosomal RNA, internal transcribed spacer 1, and 5.8S ribosomal RNA". The record is from RNAcentral.